UGAACUUGGAGGUGGUGAAUUUGAGUAAGUGGGUCCAGCCCAAAGCUCAGAAAAGGAGAAACUUCUGUCAUAGAAUUCUUCAUGGAGAGCACUAUUCUUGUUUGAGAAUUUGGGUUUGAUAGGAAUUGGAGCACUUCUCACAGUAGUAAGUUGUUUUCCAUUUUCAGAGCUGGAACUUAAACAAGUUGGGGGUGUUUUAGGAGAAGAAGGGUAGACAUGUUUGGAUUCAGAAGUACAAGCCUUCAAAGGAGUUGGAAGGAUACCAGCUCCCGACUGAAAACCCCUACAAUUCAUCCCUCUGAAGUCUCGGGAUGGGAGUGAUCCAAAUCGAGCUGGGCCAUGCGGCUUGACCCGAUCAUAAUAUUGGUUCCUAUGCUGCUCAACAACAACCACUGCUUCCAUAGCAAAAAAACUUCUAAGUUAA
RNAcentral lists this unclassified non-coding RNA (424 nucleotides) under Hevea brasiliensis (rubber tree). The record is from RNAcentral. Lineage: Eukaryota; Viridiplantae; Streptophyta; Magnoliopsida; Malpighiales; Euphorbiaceae.